CCUACGGGGGGCUGCAGUUGGGAAUAUUGGACAAUGGGAGCAAUCCUGAUCCAGCAAUCCCGCGUGAGUGAUGAAGGCCCUCGGGUCGUAAAGCUCUUUAAGCAGGGAAGAACACAAUGACGGUACCUGCAGAAUAAGCACCGGCUAACUCUGUGCCAGCAGCCGCGGUAAUACAGAGGGUGCAAGCGUUGUUCGGAAUCAUUGGGCGUAAAGCGCGUGUAGGCGGCCUUCUAAGUCUGGUGUGAAAGCCCGGGGCUCAACCCCGGAAGUGCACUGGAUACUGGGAGGCUAGAGGGCGAGAGAGGAUAAUGGAAUUAAUGGUGUAGGGGUGAAAUCCGUAGAUAUCAUUAGGAACAUCUGUGGCGAAGGCGAUUAUCUGGCUCGCAUCUGACGCUGAGACGCGAAAGCGUGGGGAGCAAACAGGAUUAGAUACCCCAGUAGUC
Molecule: ribosomal RNA, 443 nt
Filed under: uncultured bacterium
Lineage: Bacteria
Description: partial 16S ribosomal RNA
Rfam family: Bacterial small subunit ribosomal RNA
Source: RNAcentral